UGAGUAAGAAGAGGUUAAAUAUAGCCCAGCAGCGCAGUGGAGCUGCACACAAUCACUGAUAGAGCAAGCAUGUGCAGUGCUGCACCUCUUGUCCCUGGAAUAGAAUAACAACUUCACCGUCCCUGUUUGUGACUCAUUGAUUUUACAGCCCACGUAACGACUUGCAUUCAGUCAUGCUUUCUUUCACUUGUUGACUCACGGUUUGAAGCACUUGCUUCUCAGUAUAGACCAUACAGAGGAAAGAUCUGUGGAUAAUGGGUACCACUAUUAGAAGAAUCAUUGUGGAGUCUGUCUAACCAGGAGCAUACUGGGAUACACUAGUUUGACGCUUGGGGACCACUGUAGGAAGAAAAUGAGGUCUAAAGAAAAUACAGUAGACAGCAUGGUUAAUGAUGUUCUGGUUGUCACACAAAAUUCACUUGAUGUCAGUCAAGAAGAAGAGGAAGGAAAAAUACUGGAGACAGAAAAAACUAUCAAGGUUAAACACUUGGAUGAUGAAGAGAAAAGGCCUAAUAAUGAUGAUAAAUCAGCACAGAAUGACGACCAAAUGUUUGGGCUCACAGAUCUGUCCAAAGACAACCUACUCAAACUGCUUGGGAUCAUGGAAGGAGAGAUUCAGGCACGAGAAGAUGUGAUCCAUCUACUGAGGUCUGCGCUGCUGAGUCGACCCGAGCAGCUGGAGUCCCGUUAUGGCGCAUCGGGGCCGACCCGACCUCUGCAAGCCCUGCAGAGAGACCGAACGCUCAGCAACAACCACGCACAACAUGAAAAUGUGUAUGAUAAGCCAAUGGCAGAGCUGGACAGAUUGCAGGAUAAGCACAAGGAAUCAUACCGCCGUAUGCUGGAACAGCUUUUGCUGGCUGAGAAGAGCCACCGGCGCACUGUCUAUGAGCUGGAUACUGAGAAACGCAAACACGUGGACUACAUGAACAAGAGUGAUGACUUCACCAACCUCCUGGAGCAGGAAAGAGAGAGGUUAAAACGGUUGCUGAAACAAGAAAAAGCAUACCAAAUGAGGAAGGAAAAAGAAUUUUCUAAACGUAUACAAAGAACAUCUGGAGAGCUGGUUAAGCUGAAGUCUUUUGCACUCAUGAUGGUUGAUGAGCGAGAACUUCACUUGGAGAAAAUUGACAAACAGAGCCGCAAAAUACAAGAUCUCCUUCAAAAACUUGAGGAAAAGGAGAAGAAACUACAUGAGGCAGAGAGAAAAGCAAAGGAAGACAACCAGAAGAUCCUGGAUCUUGAGGUUGAGCUGGAGCUAAGAACUUCUAAGUUUGCAAAGGAGCAAGAGGAGAUGUCUGCAAAACUGUCCAGCCAAGAGUCUCAACAUCAGCAGCUGUCCCAGAAACAGAUGGAAUUGUUACACAAACUCAAGGAGCUUAAAGAGACCAACAAAGCUCUUCAGAAAUCAGCAGAGGAGCUCCAGGCAUUAAGGGACAAGAUCAGAAAGGGCGAAUGUGGCAACUCAAAUUUGAUGGCAGAACUUGAGACUUUGCGCAAAAGAAUUCUGGAAAUGGAGGGUAAAGAUGAAGAGAUCAUCAAAACUGAGAACAAAUGCAAUGAGCUGAAGAAGAUGCUCUUGGCUGAGGAGACUAACAAUAAGGACCUGAGGCUAGAGGUGGAAAAACUGCAACAGAGAAUGACACAGUUAGAGACACUAGAGAUGGCCUUCAGUAUGGGCAGGACGGAAUGUGCCCAGUUGCAGGCCGCUUUGGAAAAAGAGAAAAGCUUGACUAAAGAUCUAACAGACGAACUUGUGAGUGUUAAAAUCCGCACGAAGGAACUUGAAUCAUCUGAGCUGAAACUGGAAAAGGAUGAAUUAGCUUUAAAAGAAGACCUUGUGAAACUCAAAUCAGUCACUGUAAUAAUGGUUAAUGAGCACAAGAACAUGGCAGACAGAAUUAGGUCUGAGGAAAAGAAGAGGGAUGAACUGAAUAAACUCUAUAAGGCAGAGCAGGAGAAAGUCAUGGAGGUUACUGAGCGGUUAAUAGAGGAGAGCAAGAAGCGACUGAAACUAAAGUCAGAGAUGGAGUUGAAGAUAGCUGCUCUUGUAAAGGAGAGAGAUGAAAUCAAGGGAAAGCUUACCAAAGCAGAACAGUGUAAAGACCUGAACUCCAAGCAUGGUAUAAUAAAGCACAGUACCAUGAACAAAGAUGAAAAGGAAUCUUUUCAAAAGGUGAUGGAGCUGCAGAGUGUCUCAAAUGCACAUGGAAAAGAUGAGAAUAAAGUUAAAGAGUUGACUUUGGAGAUUGAAAGACUGAAGAACCGUCUUCAACAGCUCGAAGCUACUGAGCGAGACCUGAUCAAACCAGAGUAUGACUUGUUAGCAACUGAGAAACAGCAGGCACAAGACAUGCAUCAAACUGCAUUGAGCAAGGUAAUAGAGCAAGUUGAGGUAGACUGUCAGGAGGCUGAGCUGAGAUAUCGGUUUAUGAAGGAGGAGGCCAAAACAAGAGACCUUCAAGCAGAUGUGCAAGCUCUUAAGGAGAAGAUUCACGAGCUCAUGAACAAAGAAGACGAGCUUUCCCAACUUCAAGUGGAAUAUUCUGUUUUGCAACAGAGGUUUCUGGAAGAGGAGGACAAGAAAAAGAGCAUCAGCACUGAAGUUUUAAAUCUUACCAAAGAACUUGAAGUCACCAAGCGCUACAGCCGCACUCUGCGGCCCAGCACCAAAGGAAGUCGAAUGAUGGAUGUUCCAGUGACGUCAACUGGAGUACAAACUGAAUCAGUUGAAAACAGGACAGCUGACAGUGACACACCUGCUGCGUUCAUAAAGAAGUCUGUCCAAGAGGAGAAUCGGAUCAUGAGUAGUCUCCAACAGAGAAGCUUAAAGAAGCCAGCGCAGAGACCGACAGUGCGUGAACUUUAUCCUCCAACGGUCAGUGACUAUAGUGCAAAGAAGUCCUGGAUUCCUUGGAUGAGGAAAAAAGACAACGGUGCUUCUGAAAUAUCUUUGAAUAACGGUGGUGAGGCUGCACCUUCCGAAGUCAGCAUGUCCCAGAAGUAUGAUGCUCAGGUGAUCCCAGAUAUUAAGAACAAUGCGGCAACUUUACAGAUUUGCAUUGGGCCAUCUGAGGACUUGACCAAACAAGCUUCUGCCAAACUAUCACAAGAAAUUCAGAACCCCCAGACAACCAUCAUUCCUACAAAUGAAUGCACCAAAGAGCUCAAGAAUCCAGUUAAAUCACCACUGACCUUUGCCUCCAUCUCCAGAGUAAGGAGUACAGAAAUCAUGAGGUCUCCCUCUAUGGACAAAUCUUUAUCACCUGCAUCCAACAGCAGCUCCCUAGAGUCUGUGGACAUGAUAACAGGUAGAGCUGUAUUUAAGGAGACCCCUGAAAAACGAAUGGUCCCCACACCUAUCAAGAAGUCAAAUGCUAAUGUCAUUACCACAGACGACAGUAAGAUUCACAUUCACUUAGGAUCGCAGCUCAAGAAGACCUCUGAUCAUGGCUCAGUCAUCAUGGUCAAAUCUGAGUGCAAUGAAGUUUCUACUGGAACUGUGCUACGCUCAUCACACAGUGUGACAGCUAGCAAAUCAACAUCUAGCAAAGCGAUGAGCAGCAUCACCAUCACGCAGGUUACUAAAGCACCAGCCAGACCUGCACUCUCAGUGCAUGGAGAAAAGAAAGAAGUGGAAAGAGUUGAGUGGAAAGUGGAUUUGAGAGAAAAAAAAUGUGGAAAACAUGGACAAUCUCAAGGCUACGAGUCCAUCUCCAGAGAUCUUAAUGUUUGUGUUUCCACUGUGCGCAAUAUCAUCAAGAGGUUUACAGCCCAUGGCACUGUAGCUAACCUCCCUGGACGUGGACGAAAGAGUAACAUUAAUUAAAAAUUUCAACAAAGGAUUGCUCGGAUAGUGGAUAAAGAACCCUGAUUAACUUCCAAACAAAUUCAAGCAGAUCUGCAGACACAGGGUACAACAGUGUCAGCUCACACUAUCCGUCACAAUCUGAAUGAAAAGGGAUGCUAUGGUAAGAGACCCAGGAGGACACAAAAGCAUAAAAAAGCAAGACUGGAGUUUGCCAAAACUUACGUGACAAAACCACAAUCCUUCUGGGAGAACGUACUGUGGACAGAUGAGACAAAAGUAGAGCUUUUUGUUAAAGGACAUCAUGGCACUGUUUACAGAAAAAGAAAUGAGGCCUUUAAAGAAAAGAACACAGUCCCUACAGUCAAACAUGGUGGAGGUUCAAAGAUGUUUUGGGGUUGCUUUGCUGCUUCUGGCACUGGAUGCUUUGACUGUGUGAACAGUAUCAUGAAAUCUGAUGAUUAUCAAAGAAUUUUGGGGUGCAACGUAGUGGCCAGUGUCAGAAAGCUGCAUCUCCACCAUAGGUCAUAGGUCUUCCAGCAGGACAAUGACCCGAAACACACUCCAAAAAGCACUCAAAAAGCAGUGAGUCCCGAUCUGAAUCCCAUAGAACACCUGUGGGAGAAGGCAUCCUUCAAACCUGAAUGACCUGGAGCAGUUUGCAAAAGAAGAGUGGUCCAAAAUUCCAGUAGAGAGCAGCCCAUCAUUGAUGUCCCAUCAGCACGGUCAGGGUUCAGUCGUAUUCCAAUGUCUCGGGGGAUGAAAACUGGAAAAGCCGUGCUUGGAGCUUUGGGAAUCACCACAGGAGUUAAAAUGGAAACAAAUGUGGAA
Molecule: RNA transcript, 4639 nt
Organism: Labeo rohita (rohu)
Lineage: Eukaryota; Metazoa; Chordata; Actinopteri; Cypriniformes; Cyprinidae
Gene name: filamin-A-interacting protein 1
Exons: 7
Source: RefSeq, a predicted model, not a curated record